This is a long non-coding RNA of Lycium ferocissimum, 1789 nucleotides long. RefSeq lists it as uncharacterized. The transcript is spliced from 2 exons. Lineage: Eukaryota; Viridiplantae; Streptophyta; Magnoliopsida; Solanales; Solanaceae. The record is from RefSeq and is a predicted model, not a curated record.
AUGCUACACACUUAUUUACCAUUUUAUACUUAAUAUGUAUUUUCUUCUCUCUGUUUUAAAUGUAUUCUAUUUCUUCUUCUCUCUGUUUCAGUUUUUUGUCUUCAAUGAAGCGAGCGCUUUGCUUCUUGCAUCACACUUUAAGCGAAGCGAAGGUCCUUGUCUCUGUUUUCUGGUUCGCGCUUUCAAAAGCACUGAUCAUAUAAAGGUAAAAGGCUAGCAUGUUGUACGAAAGGUUCAACCUCGUGAUUAUUUUGACGUGCAAAAAAAGGAUGAUGAGUUUGAGGAGUUAAAUAAUAAGAAUAUGAUGCUUUUAUUCUGAAUGUGUAUCUAUGAGUCUGAUUGUGCUUCUGACUAUUUGUACAGAUGGAAUUUACGUAGUGUUAGAUUGUUUCCCUGUAUAGCGUGUUUGUGUUCCUGUAUAUUCUCUGUAAUAGUCAUUGUAUAGUUCUUGAACUUGCUAAACUUCACCAAGUCUCUUUAAUAGUCAUUGUAUGGUUCUUGGGUUUAGCUUAAACAUAUUCGACUUCUUUUUGUUUUAGGUUGACAUGAAUCCAUCAAAAUUUCAAAACUCUGGAAUGGGAUCAACUUUCAAGAAUAAUAAGCAUGCAUACAUUCCACCUGGUGCCUUAGCAAGCAGACGAGGGAAAAGCUUAAAAGCUUUGGGCUCCAUUAGAUUAAGAGCCUGUUUGGAUUGGCUUAUUUUAGGUGCUUUUAAGCCAAAAUAGCUUUUAAGCACUUUUGUAGUGUUUGGGUAAAAUAAAAGUGCUUUUUAAGCACUUGUUUUUAAGCUAAAAUGACCAAAUUUAGCCAAAAGCCAUAAGCUAGAAUUCCUAACUUAUGGAUUUGGCUUAUAAGUCAAAAGUCAUAAGUCCAUCAAACGGGCUCUAAGUGUUGAUAGAUAACUCCAAUUGGCAAAAGUAAAAUAAUAAAGCAGUAGCUUUUUGUCGAAUGAGCUAGUACAGAAUAAUAGCCUUGUGCCCCCUGGUUUUGAUCUAAUGGAAGAUGAUGUUCCCCUCGCUCAAGAAGCUGAAGUGAUGCAAGACACUCAGAGAAGUGAAAUAAGUAUUUUAUUUUCUUAAGUUGUAUUUUUUUUUUUGUUAGUGGAUGCGAGCGAUUUUUAUGUUUGACAUUAUAAACUGAAAUUUGCAGGUCCAUGUGAAUGUGAAAAGGCAAAAAAAAGUGAGGAAAGAAGAGGUGUAAAAAUGUUGCAGGACUCAAAGCUGGAGAGAAGUACACUCUUGGGCGGAUAUCGAGGAAGAGUAGUUGGAAUAUAUGUGGGAAGCUACAACUAUAAGUUAAGCAUUACUUUCUUGAUUUAUUUUUCAAGCUUGAUGCAUGUCAACUAACUUGUAUGUGUUCUUUUGCGUGCCAUAAUAUUUACGCUCGAUGUAUUUAUGAACACUCCAUUAUUUUGAACUUUUUGGUUUUAACUUAUUGGUUUUGCUGUUGGUUGUAAACAGUCCCUGCAAGACACAAAUCUCAGUUUCAUAAAAUCUACCACAACUCUAUUAGUCACACAUAGAACUAGAAUAGUUAUCAAGUUCUUGCUAUGAGUUUCAAGAAUCAAGAUCCUCUUCGUUUUCCUAGAAAUAAUACCAUAGAUUUUGCAGGAUUAAUUUUGGUGUCAAUCCACUUAGCCUAUUUAAAUAAAGGCUCUCUCAAAAGAAACCAUAUGGUUCAUUUCUUUAUAGUGUUGCCCUCCUAUUUCAAUAUUAUCUGCCAAACAAAAGUGACAAAAUGAUGUUGUGAUGUUUUUAAUUUUGAAUUGUACUGUGCAAAAUGAAAAUAA